RNAcentral lists this long non-coding RNA (1256 nucleotides) under Homo sapiens (human). Its description in RNAcentral is "novel transcript". The record is from RNAcentral. Lineage: Eukaryota; Metazoa; Chordata; Mammalia; Primates; Hominidae.
GAGUAGCUGGGACUACAGGUGCAUGCCACCAUACCCAACUCAUUUUUCAUAUUUUAGUGAAAACAAGGUUUCACCAUGUUGGCCAGGCUGGUCUUGAACUCCCAAGCUCUGGCAGUCUGACUGCCUCGGCCUCCCAAGGUGCUAGGAUUACAGCUGUAAGCCACUGCACCCGGCCAGAUACUGAUUUUUUUUAACCCUACUAUUUACUGGGCACAUACUACACAUCAGGCGGUGACCUCAGUAUUUUCCAUUGAAAAGAUCGUUUAAUCCUCAAAAUGAUUUCAUAAAACUGAUUAAAAUCCCUAAUUUAUAAGUAAUAACUGAGAGAGAUCAAGUACUCCAAGAAAGAAGGAAAAAGGGAGAGAGAGAAGAUCCUUGUGAUGAUGAAAUCCCUUAGACUUUGCCAUCUCAUCUUUCUCCUGCCUCCACACAAGGUCGUAGAAGAAAACAACAUGGACCACUUGCCAGCGUCUCUUUGAACAGAGAAGCUACUGCUGUCUAAGGCAUUUUGUUCCCAUGAGGGAAGAGUCUGGGAGAGAAGCAACCUGGUGGAGAGUGGGCCUAAGACACGGAGAGAGGAUGUUGAUGCCGUGAGUUCCCAAUCCCGCCGCGCCCGUCAGACUUACCCUCAGCUUUCCAGUCUCAGGAGCCAACACUCUUUCCUUCAGCCAGAUCAAGGUCCUUGUCACUUACAGCCAACACCACAACUGAUACAAAAGGGAAGGACACAAAACAAUUGUGGAGAAAGCCGUCUGGAUGGAGCCAGCAGCUUCGCUACCAUCGAGUGGCAUUUCCAGAGAGCAGAUGCACGCGGAGGGGUGUAGUUUGAAGGAAGACCUGGCGGGAUUUGCUAAUGAAUUGGAUAGCAGCGUAGUGAAAGAGACCCUCAGGAAUGACUUCCGGUUUUUAGGCUAAGGAAUUGCAAGAAUGGAACCAUGAACGGAGAUGUUGGUUUAGACCAGUCGCCCUCUGGACCAAGCUGCUGUGAGCAUGGAUUUAACAAAAUGUCAGCCCCACUGGGUAUGAUUUUCAAGUAUGAAUUCAAAACCUAUGGUGAGUUUCUACCAGUUUAAUCAAAAGUCCUUUUAUUUUGUUCUGGGUAAACACAGCUACGUCUGGGGUUUGCAUGCAAAGCAGUGGCUUUGACUUUCUUUUCGUUUUUUUGUAAAGCAGUAUUCAUCCAGUUAUGAGAAAACCACUUUUGCUUAUUGACCUUCUAAAAUGUCGGCAUUGUAAAUCAAAUCACUUGCAAAAAA